AUGAACGCUGGCGGCGUGCCUCAUACAUGCAAGUCGAGCGAACAGACGAGGAGCCUGCUCCUCUGACGUUAGCGGCGGACGGGUGAGUAACACGUGGAUAACCUACCUAUAAGACUGGGAUAACUUCGGGAAACCGGAGCUAAUACCGGAUAAUAUAUUGAACCGCAUGGUUCAAUAGUGAAAGACGGUUUUGCUGUCACUUAUAGAUGGAUCCGCGCCGCAUUAGCUAGUUGGUAAGGUAACGGCUUACCAAGGCAACGAUGCGUAGCCGACCUGAGAGGGUGAUCGGCCACACUGGAACUGAGACACGGUCCAGACUCCUACGGGAGGCAGCAGUAGGGAAUCUUCCGCAAUGGGCGAAAGCCUGACGGAGCAACGCCGCGUGAGUGAUGAAGGUCUUCGGAUCGUAAAACUCUGUUAUUAGGGAAGAACAAAUGUGUAAGUAACUAUGCACGUCUUGACGGUACCUAAUCAGAAAGCCACGGCUAACUACGUG
Molecule: ribosomal RNA, 496 nt
Filed under: uncultured bacterium
Lineage: Bacteria
Description: partial 16S ribosomal RNA
Rfam family: Bacterial small subunit ribosomal RNA
Source: RNAcentral